GAUGAACGCUGGCUACAGGCUUAACACAUGCAAGUCGAGGGGUAACGAGAGGAAAGCUUGCUUUCCUUGUCGACGGCCGGCGCACGGGUGAGUAACGCGUAUCCAACCUGCCCCCAACUAGGGAAUAACCUUGCGAAAGUAAGACUAAUACCCUAUAAUUUCCUCAGAUGACAUCUGACGAGGAAUAAAGAUUUAUCGGUUGUGGAUGGGGAUGCGUCUGAUUAGCUUGUUGGCGGGGUAACGGCCCACCAAGGCAACGAUCAGUAGGGGUUCUGAGAGGACGGUCCCCCACAUUGGAACUGAGACACGGUCCAAACUCCUACGGGAGGCAGCAGUGAGGAAUAUUGGUCAAUGGGCGGAAGCCUGAACCAGCCAAGUAGCGUGCAGGAUGACGGCCCUAUGGGUUGUAAACUGCUUUUAUACAGGAAUAAAGUUAGCCACGUGUGGUUAUUUGUAGGUACUGUAUGAAUAAGGACCGGCUAAUUCCGUGCCAGCCGCCGCCGUAA
This 506-nucleotide ribosomal RNA is filed under the name uncultured bacterium. RNAcentral's name for it is "partial 16S ribosomal RNA". It matches the Rfam family "Bacterial small subunit ribosomal RNA", at positions 28 to 523 of the family's 1533-position model. The record is from RNAcentral.